Molecule: ribosomal RNA, 583 nt
Filed under: [Candida] sp. EJ2M01
Lineage: Eukaryota; Fungi; Ascomycota; Saccharomycetes; Saccharomycetales
Description: eukaryotic LSU rRNA
Rfam family: 5.8S ribosomal RNA (bases 179-332)
Source: RNAcentral
GCGCUUAAUUGCGCGGUGGAAAAUAACCCAUACACACAGUGUUUUUUGUUAUUACAAGAACUAUUGCUUUGGCUUGGCGCAAGCUGGGCCAGAGGUUACACGUAAACUUCAAUUUUUAAUUGAAUUGUUAUUUUAAUAAGUUGUCAAUUUGUUUGAUUAAAUUCAAAAUAAUCUUCAAAACUUUCAACAACGGAUCUCUUGGUUCUCGCAUCGAUGAAGAACGCAGCGAAAUGCGAUAAGUAAUAUGAAUUGCAGAUUUUCGUGAAUCAUCGAAUCUUUGAACGCACAUUGCGCCCUUUGGUAUUCCAAAGGGCAUGCCUGUUUGAGCGUCAUUUCUCUCUCAAACCCUUGGGUUUGGUAUUGAGUGAUACUCUUAGUCGGACUAGGCGUUUGCUUGAAAAGUAUUGGCAAGAGUGUACUAGAUAGUACUACCGGUUAUUCAAUGUAUUAGGUUUAUCCAACUCGUUGAACGGCUGGGCGUAAAUUUCUGGUGACUGGCUCGGCCUUACAACCAACAAACAAGUUUGACCUCAAAUCAGGUAGGAUUACCCGCUGAACUUAAGCAUAUCAAUAAGCCGGAGGA